UACGUAGGGGGCGAGCGUUGUCCGGAAUUAUUGGGCGUAAAGCGCGUGUAGGCGGUCCGGUAAGUCGGCUGUGAAAGUCCAGGGCUCAACCCUGGGAUGCCGGUCGAUACUGCCGGACUAGAGUUAGGUGGGGGAGAUCGGAAUUCCUGGUGUAGCGGUGAAAUGCGCAGAUAUCAGGAGGAACACCGGUGGCGAAGGCGGAUCUCUGGGCCUUACCUGACGCUGAGGCGCGAAAGCUAGGGGAGCAAACAGG
This 253-nucleotide ribosomal RNA is filed under the name uncultured bacterium. RNAcentral's name for it is "partial 16S ribosomal RNA". It matches the Rfam family "Bacterial small subunit ribosomal RNA", at positions 524 to 776 of the family's 1533-position model. The record is from RNAcentral.